CGCACUAAUCGGGGAGAUAGCGGUGCCCUGUAGCCCGCAAUCCGCUACAGCGGGGAUGAAUCCCUGCCCCCGGUGGCGUUAUGUGUCGUCUGCCUUUUCUGAGAAGCGUUGAUGAGCCGGUCCCGCGCAACGGGACCCUGUGAACCGUGUCAGGCGGGGAACCGAGCAGCACUAAGCAGGUUUUCCCGUGUGCCGCGGGCCUGCCGGCUUUGAGCUUUGAGGAUCAGUAACGGGUGUAUGGCUCCAUCAAAGGCAGGUGUG
Molecule: signal recognition particle RNA, 261 nt
Filed under: bovine gut metagenome
Also listed under: 1 other name
Description: Bacterial large signal recognition particle RNA
Rfam family: Bacterial large signal recognition particle RNA
About the family: The signal recognition particle (SRP) is a universally conserved ribonucleoprotein involved in the co-translational targeting of proteins to membranes. Archaeal SRP consists of a 7S RNA and homologues of the eukaryotic SRP19 and SRP54 proteins. In most bacteria, the SRP consists of a 4.5S RNA and the Ffh protein (a homologue of the eukaryotic SRP54 protein).
Source: RNAcentral